This is a non-coding RNA of Meleagris gallopavo (turkey), 1309 nucleotides long. Lineage: Eukaryota; Metazoa; Chordata; Aves; Galliformes; Phasianidae. The record is from RefSeq and is a predicted model, not a curated record.
AACAGUUACAACAAGAUAUCCAUCUACAGCCCCCGUGGACAUUGGCACAGAUGAUGGAAGCAACCCACCUAUGCCUCUGAACAACUUCUGGUUAGUUAACAGCUGAAGAAAUACUGCUCUCACAGAGGCAGCAAACAAUCCACGCCGCCAGAGCGUGCCUGACGCCCUGCAGUGACUCCCCAGCCACAGUCCAUCCCUUAUUCCAUUAGUCCUGCUGACACACGCAAGAGAAACUGGUUGUUUUAGCCUGCACUAUUACUCCUAAGUGAAUGCAAGCUAUUCUGUUGAACUCUGGGCAAUUUAGAUACAGUAAAUGGAAGCUUGUACAUGAUUACUGUCAUUAGAUUCUUUGCUUAAUUCUAAAUUGAAGUUUAUUAUAUCCGUACUGUUAGCGGGUAUGCUGGCUUGACUGCUGUACACAAAGAUUUUCAUUUCUUUCUUUAAUCUAGGGGAGGAGACAGCCCAUGCUUCAGAAGUUGCCAAGGGCAUCUCUGCCUAAAUCCUACAGACUUCUACUGCGCCUUCUGAAAUCCUUUUGCUUUGGCUUGGUUGGACGCAAAAGAAGGAACCAGCUUCUGAACAUCGGGAAGAAUGAAAACAUCUCAUCAAUGGAAAUGAAGCGAAGAUCACAUGAUGGUAUUAUGCACUGAUUACAAGUGUGUGAUCUCAAAAAUGGGAUUUUAUUAAUGAAAAGAUUCUGGCCAUGUUGGGAAUGACUGCCCUGGGCACUCACUUCUGCAACCUGUGGCUGACAGAAGGGCAAAUGGAGCUCAGUACCAGCCCUGUUGCAGUGACUGCGUGGCAUAUGAGAGUUUCAGUUCAUUGAAUUUACAACGCGAAAUUCCAACUCUGAUCGUGAACACCUUCCCUCUCAUCUGAAAAUUAAUUCACACGAAUUCCUGAUUAAUAAUAAAAGGCCCUGCCAUCAGCAUUCAGAGCCCCAGCCGGGGCUGUCAUGGCUCAGAGGGCAGAAAUCUGCUUAGAGCUACAGGAGAACCCAACUGAAUUUGUGGCGUCUCAGUCUAUGAAUGUGUAAGCACUUCAUCUGUUCACCAAAACACAAUGUGCUGGAAAGCAGCGGGCAAAAGUAGCUGUACGUACUGUUGACCAAGAGCAGGGCUAGGUGGCAGUAUGCAAGCACUGAAACCAGCACGAUAAAGCUGGUACUGCUACAUUUGCUGAACACAGAACUGUCCGCUUCACGUGUUUUCUUUUACCAAGAAAAUCAUCAGGCCAUUCACAUUUUAUGUAUUUGUCUUUUUCUUGAGGAUUCUGGCAAUAUCUCUAUUAUCUCCCUGUGAGGAAAUGG